CAGAAUAAUUCUGAAAACGUACACCGUAUUUUUACCUGUAUAUACUUUAUUUGGGAUCUUUGACUAAGAGAAGGCUGUAGGAACAUAAAAUUCCAAGCCGUGUAGGACCGACUUCUCAAUGUCUGCUUCCCAAUAAAACAAUGAAAAUGUCAGUGGGCGUCUAAUGCUUAUAAAUGGAUUUAUUCAGCUAUGCAAAUUCAAACCGGGACAGUAAUAUCCAUGAGGCCUCCCAGUGGACAUGUUGCUGGCUAGAAUGAGUCAAUACAAUAAGUUAGACAUUUUCUUUUUGUGAUCAUCUGGAUAUCUA
This is a non-coding RNA of Pelobates cultripes (western spadefoot toad), 307 nucleotides long. The record is from the annotation of a GenBank genome assembly. NCBI's taxonomy places the organism in Eukaryota, Metazoa, Chordata, Amphibia, Anura, Pelobatidae.